This 459-nucleotide ribosomal RNA is filed under the name uncultured Rhodocyclaceae bacterium. RNAcentral describes it as "bacterial SSU rRNA". It matches the Rfam family "Bacterial small subunit ribosomal RNA", at positions 923 to 1382 of the family's 1533-position model. Lineage: Bacteria; Pseudomonadati; Pseudomonadota; Betaproteobacteria; Rhodocyclales; Rhodocyclaceae. The record is from RNAcentral.
GCGACAAGCGGUGGAUGAUGUGAGUUAAUUCGAUGCAACGCGAAAACCUUACUACCCUUGACAUGUCCGGAAUCCCGAAGAGAUUUGGGAGUGCUCGCAAGAGAACCGGAACACAGGUGCUGCAUGGCUGUCGUCAGCUCGUGUCGUGAGAUGUUGGGUUAAGUCCCGCAACGAGCGCAACCCUUGUCACUAGUUGCCAUCAUUUGGUUGGGCACUCUAGUGAGACUGCCGGUGACAAACCGGAGGAAGGUGGGGAUGACGUCAAGUCCUCAUGGCCCUUAUAGGUGGGGCUACACACGUCAUACAAUGGAUGGUACAAAGGGUCGCCAACCCGCGAGGGGGAGCCAAUCCCAUAAAGCCAUUCGUAGUCCGGAUCGCAGUCUGCAACUCGACUGCGUGAAGUCGGAAUCGCUAGUAAUCGUGGAUCAGCAUGUCACGGUGAAUACGUUCCCGGGUCUU